Molecule: long non-coding RNA, 1643 nt
Organism: Strigops habroptila (Kakapo)
Lineage: Eukaryota; Metazoa; Chordata; Aves; Psittaciformes; Psittacidae
Source: Ensembl
UUUCUUGAGAAUGGAUUUAUUUGGAUCAUCUCCCAGGACAUGUACAUGCUGAUAUCUCCUGAAAACAGGGUUGCCAUCUUUGUUUCAGUACUUACCACUGUUCUCAGCACACAAAUAUUGGAUAUUGUCUUUCUACAUGAAGCUGCCACCAAGAUGCAAUCAGACUGCUUCUAAUCCUUGGAAUACUGGCUGAAGCAAGAGGAAUAGGUGUUGUGACUCUCAGUGGGAAAAUUUGGGGGACAUCUAUAGAAUAAUUGGAUUUUUACGCUUUUUUCCUUCUCUACUUUUCCUCUACUGGAUUUUAUGGAAGCUCACCAAUAGAAUGCCUUUCCAAGAAGGCCAAAUCCCCAUAAGUCUUGAAGAUGGUCUUUAGGCUGUGCAUAUCUACUCUCCCUGCUCUUUAAGCUGUCUAGACACUGAUACCCUGAUCUGGGGACCAUGUAACUGCACUAGGAUAAUACAGUGGCUAAGCUAAUAAGCCUAUGGGGAGAUCAGAAUGGAUUAACUUGGGCACAGGGCUGUGCUUUGAAACUUCAGCCAGCUUUCAGACUGAGAAGAGGUGGCACAAAUACAGAGCCAGGGACAGCAAUGCCAGCCACAAAUGCAUCCAGCAAGGACUGGCUGCUUGUGCUGUUUUGCUGCUGCACUCAAGAUGCUUCUCAAUAUUUACAAGUCUUGUUGAUUUUAGAGAGGACAUAUAUCAUAAGGCUAAAAAAUAAGCAGAAGUCCUGACAUUGAGUUUGCACUACUGGGGGAAUGAUUAAGCCUUUGGUGAAUUCACUUUGUUGUGCAUGCUUAUAUAUGCAAGCUAGCUGCAGUCUAAAUGGGGACUGCAACAUCCAUGGCUGUAUCAGUGAUGGGAGCAUGCGGUUGUGUUGGCCAGUGCUAAAGCAUUUUCAAUCCCUCCAGUAAAUGUGUGUUUUUGCACAUGUUUGCAGACACAUACCUGCACACACCCCCAAGCACACCCACCAAGCCAGUAAGGGAUGCAGCCACUACCCAGCUUUUUCUUGGCAGGGCUCUGCACAUUGUGUCAGCCAAGAAAAAUUUCACAUUUACAGGAAAACCCACUGCUGUUCUCACCCUGUUACACAGUAAAUAAAAGCGUUGCACAGCAAAUGUUGACACAGUAAUUCACAGAGGAAUUUCACAGGCAAAACAACCAUGUAUGCACAGAUGCUAACAAAAUAACCCAUGAUUUCACAUGCACUUGGUAAGAAAUGAUUGCCUUGCAAACUAACCAAGGAUAUGAGAUGAUUAUCAUGAAUCAUCUGAUACCACCAGGUAUUGUACUAAGCAGGUUUAACUUAAGAGAGCUUGAAGGAACAUACAGAGUUUUGCUUGAGGUUUCAGCCAAUACUGAAAAAAUAUCUCCAUUUCUUAAAGUUUCCCAGCCCCAUUUAGAGAUCCCAAAUGACCGAAACACUACUGCCAAGUUUUAUUUACAUUUCAAAAAGUGGAACAUUUUUCUGGCCAUGAACAGUGACCCUUUGGACUGUUGUGUGUCCCUGGUGCAUGCUAGAGAGUUUUAAAACAGAUACAGUCAUGAGAAUAAAGUAAAUCAAGUCUAUGAAUUCCUGGAAAAGAGAAAAUAAUCAGAGCUUAUAACAGUAAAUAAAACUGGACAGACCUCAUUUUACAAU